GAGUUUGAUCCUGGCUCAGGAUGAACGCUGGCGGCGUGCCUAACACAUGCAAGUCGAGCGAUUUACUUCGGUAAAGAGCGGCGGACGGGUGAGUAACGCGUGGGUAACCUGCCCUGUACACACGGAUAACAUACCGAAAGGUAUGCUAAUACGAGAUAAUAUGCUUUUGUCGCAUGGUAGAAGUAUCAAAGUUUUUGCGGUACAGGAUGGACCCGCGUCUGAUUAGCUAGUUGGUAAGGUAACGGCUUACCAAGGCGACGAUCAGUAGCCGACCUGAGAGGGUGAUCGGCCACAUUGGAACUGAGACACGGUCCAAACUCCUACGGGAGGCAGCAGUGGGGAAUAUUGCACAAUGGGGCGAAAGCCUGAUGCAGCAACGCCGCGUGAAGGAAGAAGGCCUUUGGGUCGUAAACUUCUGUUC
This 421-nucleotide ribosomal RNA is filed under the name uncultured bacterium. RNAcentral describes it as "bacterial SSU rRNA". It matches the Rfam family "Bacterial small subunit ribosomal RNA", at positions 9 to 438 of the family's 1533-position model. The record is from RNAcentral.